Molecule: ribosomal RNA, 465 nt
Filed under: uncultured Klebsiella sp.
Lineage: Bacteria; Pseudomonadati; Pseudomonadota; Gammaproteobacteria; Enterobacterales; Enterobacteriaceae
Description: bacterial SSU rRNA
Rfam family: Bacterial small subunit ribosomal RNA
Source: RNAcentral
CCUACGGGAGGCAGCAGUGGGGAAUAUUGCACAAUGGGCGCAAGCCUGAUGCAGCCAUGCCGCGUGUGUGAAGAAGGCCUUCGGGUUGUAAAGCACUUUCAGCGGGGAGGAAGGCGGUGAGGUUAAUAACCUCAUCGAUUGACGUUACCCGCAGAAGAAGCACCGGCUAACUCCGUGCCAGCAGCCGCGGUAAUACGGAGGGUGCAAGCGUUAAUCGGAAUUACUGGGCGUAAAGCGCACGCAGGCGGUCUGUCAAGUCGGAUGUGAAAUCCCCGGGCUCAACCUGGGAACUGCAUUCGAAACUGGCUGGCUAGAGUCUUGUAGAGGGGGGUAGAAUUCCUGGUGUAGCGGUGAAAUGCGUAGAGAUCUGGAGGAAUACCGGUGGCGAAGGCGGCCCCCUGGACAAAGACUGACGCUCAGGUGCGAAAGCGUGGGGAGCAAACAGGAUUAGAUACCCGGGUAGUC